Molecule: ribosomal RNA, 468 nt
Filed under: uncultured bacterium
Lineage: Bacteria
Description: partial 16S ribosomal RNA
Rfam family: Bacterial small subunit ribosomal RNA
Source: RNAcentral
GACGAACGCUGGCGGCGUGCUUAACACAUGCAAGUCGAACGGAAAGGCCCUGCUUUUGUGGGGUGCUCGAGUGGCGAACGGGUGUGUAACACGUGAGUAACCUGCCCUUGACUUUGGGAUAACUUCAGGAAACUGGGUCUAAUACCGGAUAGGAGCUCCUGCUGCAUGGUGGGGGUUGGAAAGUUUCGGCGGUUGGGGAUGGACUCGCGGCUUAUCAGCUUGUUGGUGGGGUAGUGGCUUACCAAGGCUUUGACGGGUAGCCGGCCUGAGAGGGUGACCGGCCACAUUGGGACUGAGAUACGGCCCAGACUCCUACGGGAGGCAGCAGUGGGGAAUAUUGCACAAUGGGCGGAAGCCUGAUGCAGCAACGCCGCGUGCGGGAUGACGGCCUUCGGGUUGUAAACCGCUUUCGCCUGUGACGAAGCGUGAGUGACGGUAAUGGGUAAAGAAGCACCGGCUAACUACGUG